GAGUGGGUCUGCCGCAGCAGCGAAAGGUAGCGGAAGAAAUCAGGAGGCGUCGGACCGUUGCUGGGAGACGAGACACAGCCGGAAGGGGCGGGGCCCACGCCGCACCCGGCCCUCCCACGAUCCCAGGUAGCAUUGGUCCUCCUGCAUGUCAGGCAGGGGACUGGACUAAAUUGCGGCGGAUGGUUAAAAUUAAGGCACAAGUGUGUCACCAACAUCCACUUGCGAUAAGAAGCAGACAAACAGAAGGACACUUAGAAAACUGUCAACUAGCACUGUCAACAUGAGAAAUGUGGACUAAAAGCCACUUGAGAGCUACAAGUGCCCAGAAGAGCAGAUAAGGUUCUCAAUGAGGCCUUGGACAGAGCGAGGAACAAGUACCCUGUCUUCAGGUCGCACAGGAGUGUGGCACCCAAGCCCACCAGAGGGCUCCAACCCCCUGUUCUACGUGGUGAACAAACAGCCUGCCAAUAAGAGCAGACCUCCAGGCCCUCUAGAGUGUGUCACCAACAAGGUUUCUACCAACAAGGCCCCAAGAUCUGCCUGCCUCUGCCUCCUGUGUGCUGGGAUUAAAGGCGUGCGCCAACA
This is a long non-coding RNA of Mesocricetus auratus (golden hamster), 585 nucleotides long. RefSeq lists it as uncharacterized. The transcript has 3 exons. The record is from RefSeq and is a predicted model, not a curated record. NCBI's taxonomy places the organism in Eukaryota, Metazoa, Chordata, Mammalia, Rodentia, Cricetidae.